GACAGAGGGUGGCAAGCGUUAUCCGGAUUUACUGGGUUUAAAGGGUGCGUAGGCGGGCUAUUAAGUCAGUGGUGAAAUCCCGGGGCUCAACCUCGGAACUGCCAUUGAUACUAUUAGCCUUGAAUUAUGUUGAGGUUGGCGGAAUAUAACAUGUAGCGGUGAAAUGCUUAGAUAUGUUAUGGAACACCGAUUGCGAAGGCAGCUGGCUAAACAUAUAUUGACGCUGAUGCACGAAAGUGUGGGUAGCAAACAGG
Molecule: ribosomal RNA, 254 nt
Filed under: uncultured bacterium
Lineage: Bacteria
Description: partial 16S ribosomal RNA
Rfam family: Bacterial small subunit ribosomal RNA
Source: RNAcentral